GACGAACGCUGGCGGCGUGCUUAACACAUGCAAGUCGAACGGAAAGGCCCUGCUUUUGUGGUGUGCUCGAGUGGCGAACGGGUGAGUAACACGUUAGUAACCUGCCCUUGACUUUGGGAUAACUUCAGUAAACUGGGGCUAAUACCGGAUAGGAGCUCCUGCUGCAUGGUGGGGGUUGGAAAGUUUCGGAGGUUGGGGAUGGACUCUCGGCUUAUCAGCUUGUUGGUGGGGUAGUGUCUUACCAAGGCUUUGACGGGUAGCCGGCCUGAGCGGGUGACCGGCCACAUUGGGACUGAGAUACGGCCCAGAAUCCUACGGGAGGCAGCAGUGGGGAAUAUUGCACAAUGGGCGGAAGCCUGAUGCAGCAACGCCGCGUGCGGGAUGAAGGCCGUCGGGUUGUAAACCGCUUUCGCCUGUGACGAAGCGUGAGUGACGGUAAUGGGUAAAGAAGCACCGGCUAACUACGUG
This 468-nucleotide ribosomal RNA is filed under the name uncultured bacterium. Its description in RNAcentral is "partial 16S ribosomal RNA". It matches the Rfam family "Bacterial small subunit ribosomal RNA", at positions 28 to 507 of the family's 1533-position model. The record is from RNAcentral.